This 477-nucleotide ribosomal RNA is filed under the name Biscogniauxia sp. CJL-2014. RNAcentral's name for it is "eukaryotic LSU rRNA". The stretch from base 100 to 253 matches the Rfam family "5.8S ribosomal RNA". The record is from RNAcentral. Lineage: Eukaryota; Fungi; Ascomycota; Sordariomycetes; Xylariales; Xylariaceae.
GCGGGAUCGCUGCCUCGCGCCACGCCAAAAGGCCUGUCAAAGGACCCCUAAAAUCUGUCUUAUUACUGCAUCUCUGAGUUUAUUAUACAAACGAGUUAAAACUUUCAACAACGGAUCUCUUGGCUCUGGCAUCGAUGAAGAACGCAGCGAAAUGCGAUAAGUAAUGUGAAUUGCAGAAUUCAGUGAAUCAUCGAAUCUUUGAACGCACAUUGCGCCUGAUAGUAUUCUGUCAGGCAUGCCUGUUCGAGCGUCAUUUCAACCCCCAAGCCCUAUUUGCUUGACGUUGGGAGUUUACGGAGACGUAAUUCCUCAAAUAUAGUGGCGGAGCUAGGUCGUGCUCUAAGCGUAGUAACCACACUCUCGCUUCUGCAGCCGGCCUAGGUCUUGCCGUAAAACCCCCUAUAUUUUUUUUUACUGGUUGACCUCGGAUCAGGUAGGAAUACCCGCUGAACUUAAGCAUAUCAAUAAGCGGAGGAA